This is a non-coding RNA of Chlorocebus sabaeus (green monkey), 1566 nucleotides long. NCBI's taxonomy places the organism in Eukaryota, Metazoa, Chordata, Mammalia, Primates, Cercopithecidae. The record is from RefSeq and is a predicted model, not a curated record.
AUUUUUCUCCAUCUUCAUCCUUCUUUUUGUUCCUUUAUAAACUGCUCUCAGUGUAACUGUAUUCAUAUAUAUGCUUGAAUUCCAAACCUUACGAGAUUUUGUUUAAUAAGAGUCACCCUUAUUUUUCAAUUCUUCCUUCAUUCUUUCCCUCUUAACUGGUUUUCUCUUACCCAAGAAAAGCCCUUCUCUUAACCCCAAGCUUAUUUCAAUUUCACCUUACUGAAUAUCUGAAAGGUAUAACUAUACCUCUAGUUACCUUUCGACUAUUUGGCAGACCUUUAACUUUCCCUACCAUGCCAAUGGUCACUAAACACCUUAAAUGCCACUCUUAACAGUAUUCUUUCAGUCCUCAUUCCAUAAAAAUUUCUUAACAUGUUACUUUAGAUGGAUUCCUUUACCUCAGGGGUUUCUCAAAGACUUAUUUGAAGGACUGUUUAAAAAAAUCAGAUUGUUAGGUCCCAUUUCCAGAACCUGAUUCUUUAAGUCUGACGUGGGGUUUCAGAAUAUGCAUUUUCAUAAUUUCCCAGGUGAUACUGAUUCUGUGCAUCUGGGGAUCCUGCUUUAUCUUAAAACUCCAAACUCUUGGCUUCUGAGACACUAUACAUUCCUCUGGUUCUCCUUGAAAGCCUCAGAUCAAUCCUUUCCAGACGACACUGACUUCAAAUACCAGUUUUAAGACAUAAGAAAAACAAAGUCAUAGUUUCCUCGUCAUAGACGUGAUGAAUUUUCUGAUUAGCAAAUGAACACUAAAUAAAAAUAGUCAUCAUCAUAACCAUAAUUACUGAGAUGCUCUCCAUUAAUUGUAUUUUAUUGUCUAAUGCCAAUCUUCUCUUUUAAUUCAUUUCACUAAAGUCUUAAAUAAAUCUUUUGAAGUAGCAGAACAGGAAAAUUACCAGGCUGAAUAUCUGAAAGAAUAUUAAUACAACAUACUUAACACCAAUUUUAUUAGUAGUAAUCAGAAACUAUGCCAGACACAUAGCAAUUUGAUUCAAAGCCACAUUUAGGCUUAUUUGCGGAACCGUGUAGACUUUACAUCAAAAUUUCACCUCAUAGUCUCCACCUUCAGUAUUGUUUACGUUAUAGUCUCAUAUUUUCUAUGACCCAGAUUUCCAUCUUAUUUUCACUGUAUUAUUAUUUUUUCACACACGUCUCCUUAUUUUAAACCACUGCAAAACCUUCAUCAGAGACGUUAAAGCUUAGGUUGUCGAAGAGUGUAUAAUAGCCCUCCUAAAUAUCUGUCCUCCCCUUCUUCCUGGGCACAUGGCUGCUUAGCUAAAAGCUAAGUUUUUUAGCCUCCUUUGUGUAGCUCGUUGUGGCCACGUGACUAAAUUCUCAGCAACUGAACCCAAAUGAAGGAGGUGAGCAGAACUUCUAAAUCAUUAGCUUUAAAAAAAGAACUGUUCUUUCGACUUUUUCCAAGUUAAAAUGUGAAAUGGGGGCAGCAUACCCCUAACUCUGCAGAGAAGGUUAACACGCUAGGGCACUGCUUCUCAAAGUAUGCUCCAACAGUAUCGAUACCACCUGGAAAUUUAGAAAUGUAAAUUUUCAGACUCCAACCCAGACUUA